UACGGGGGGGGCAAGCGUUGUUCGGAAUUACUGGGCGUAAAGGGUUCGUAGGUGGCCAAUUAAGUCAGAUGUGAAAUCCCUCGGCUUAACCGGGGAACUGCAUCUGAUACUGGAUGGCUUGAGAUUGGGAGAGGGAUGCGGAAUUCCAGGUGUAGCGGUGAAAUGCGUAGAUAUCUGGAGGAACACCGGUGGCGAAGGCGGCAUCCUGGACCAACACUGACGCUGAGGAGCGAAAGCCAGGGGAGCAAGCGGG
RNAcentral lists this ribosomal RNA (253 nucleotides) under uncultured bacterium. Its description in RNAcentral is "partial 16S ribosomal RNA". It matches the Rfam family "Bacterial small subunit ribosomal RNA", at positions 524 to 776 of the family's 1533-position model. The record is from RNAcentral.